AUGUCCAAAGAACCACGUGACAUAUGUUGUAAGCAAUUCAAGCUAAUAAAAAAAAGAUGUCAAAAGACAUCAAGGAUACACACAGCUAAAAAAAAGAACAGAAGAAAGAAAAAAGACUCCGCCAUGGUGAACAAUGCUAGCAGAAGCGGCAGCACUCUAACCACCACCAAAGACAACACCCGGAAUACAAAAGAGGUUCUCCUAAAGCAACGCAUCCAAGAAGGAAACAAUGCACAAGCUUUGUCGUUGCCCGAUCGAAGAUCUCGGGUUUUCACCCAGAGAAAGUCCGAGUUCACCCGAAACAAUGCCUUCAACAAGGCCAUUGCCAGGUACAACCAAUAA
RNAcentral lists this ribosomal RNA (342 nucleotides) under Triticum aestivum (bread wheat). Its description in RNAcentral is "partial small subunit ribosomal RNA". Lineage: Eukaryota; Viridiplantae; Streptophyta; Magnoliopsida; Poales; Poaceae. The record is from RNAcentral.